CCCUGCUUGCUCUCUCUCAAAAUAAAUAAACUUAAAAAAAAAAAAAGACUGAGAACAGUGCCUGGUGCAUCAUAAGCUGUCUUUACGAUGGUUAGAUACUAUUUCUAGCAUUAUUAUUGAUAGCAGUAGUAGUAGAAAAUGUUUUUUUAUGCGGUGAAAUCAAAAGUCGUUGACCCUACAUUAGGACCCGGUUUUUUUAAUUUGAUUGAUCUGUGAAGUCCCUCCGUCUCACAACCCCUGCUUUUAACCACUGUGCUUUGUGUAUGAAGUGCUUGGCUCCCCGCCCCUCGGACAAUCCUUCUCAAUCACAGUAAAGAAAGGAAGGUGAUUCACCGAGUGUCCCCUCCUCACCCAGGAUGAAACGCUCAGCUCACUGCCCGGAAGCCGGCACACACAUCGAGGUCCCACGCACGGAGCCUGCCCCCAAGAUAGUGCGGGAGGUGUGUGUGGCCCGGAGACGGAGGCAGAGGAGCAAGCGGGACGGUGGAGGACGAGCCCAGCCCAGCCCCUGGUUCCCCAGGAAGCAGAUGGAUGCGGCGGACCGGGAAGCCCCAAGUCCGCACCUUGCUGCCCCCACCCCACCUCUCCACGGGCCUCCCCUCACCUAGCCCUGCCUCCUCGGAGCCCCCAAGCCCUGGUUCCCGGCUCGGACACCAGCGUGCGGUCCCGUGACGCGCCUGUGUUCACCUGAGAGCACGCGGAGCCCGUGCCCACAGACGUGCCGCCACAGAAGCCCACGGGGCUCUUCCAGAACGCGCCGAGGGCGCCUUCUCGGCCGCCGGAAGGCCAGUCCGCAGUGAGUGGGUGUUGCAUCCCCUUCCGUGGAGACCAAGGGGCAGAGCUUGUUGGACAGGCGUCGCCCUGUCCAUCCGGGCGUCCCGAGGCUGCCUCACGGGACACAGCGCCAGCGGAGAGGGAGGUAGGCACCUCACUGGCCCUGCGUGUGGGAAGUGGGGGUGAAUUUGUACCAAGGAUAUGGUGCUCCCGAGAGAGAGUUGCUCUGGAGACCCAGGUCUCUGUUAGCUUCUCCCCGAGUUGAGCACAGGGUGGGGACAGGCCUCCGAGCGGAGGGGGGUGACAUCAGAGCACAGGGAAGAGAGGCCAGAGCUCAAGUCGGGGGCCCGCUCCGAGGGAGUCCACACCGUGGGCCCCGAAUUGGAUUCUUCCCUCUGUCCCUGCAGUCAUUUUCAUUCCCGCUCAGUCUCUGCCCUCCCCUCCGCUAAUACCCUCACGCUCACCUCCUCACCCUCUGCCUCAUUUAUCCUCUUAUCUGUGAAGCACGGGCGGCAGGCACUGGGGGUGCGUGAAGGGGAGCAGAAGACAAGGCCCCCACCCUCGGCGCACUGACGGUCUAGUUGGGAAGAUAAGGCAGGCCCACGCGAGAAGAGAACUAGCGGGGCGCCUGGGUGGCUCAGUCGGUUAAGCGUCCGACUUCGGAUGGGGUCACGAUCUCGCGGUCCGUGGGUUCGGGCCGCACGUCGGGCUUUCUGCUGUCAGCACGGAGCCCGCUUCGUAUCCUCUGUCCCCCUCUCUCUGCUCUGCCCUCACUUGCACUCUCUCUCCCUUAAAAUAAAUACAUUUUUAAAAAGAGAGACAACUAGUAAGUCAAAUGUGGCAGGGCACGUUGGGUUUGGGCAGGUUCUAAGCCAGUAUGGCUCUAUGACCUUCUUGCUCCGAGUCUAAAAGGCCACCCACCAGACUGUCCCAGGAAGGGGCAGGAGGAGGUAGGAGGCCCAGGGCCUUUCCCCAGCUGAGGCUCAUCCCCUAACAUUAAAGGUCAGGGACCCUGAGCACUGUGCUGCCCAGUGACCUCUCAGAAUGUUCCAGCCAUCCUCAGCACACAGGUCUGCCAUUGAGCGAGUGCCUCACUGAACAGUGCCUUGCUCAGAACAAAAGCACUGUGGCAGAGCGGUUUCUGGAUCGCUGGACUUUUUUUUUUUUUAAGUUUAUUUAUUUAUUUUGAGAAAGAGCAUGAGCAGGGGGGAACAGAGAGAGGGAGAGAGAGAGAAUCUCAAGCAGGCUCUGCACUGCCAGUGCAGAGCCCGAAGUGGGGCUCGAACCCACGACCCUGAAAUCAUGACCUGAGCCGAAAUCAAGAGUCGGACACUUAACUGACAGCCAUCCAGGCACCCCUCGGAUCGCUGGACUUUUUGACGGUGAUGCCUUGAUUCUCAUCCACGGUCGUAAGUACGGUGGGCCGCUCUUACAGGCCCUGGAUACAAAUUCCAAGGUUGCUGUAGAGACCUGACCCACCCUGCCCCAAAGACAGUGCUCUUUAAAAAAAUUUUUUUUUAAUGUUUUAUUUAUUUUUGAGACAGAGACAGAGCAUGAGCAGGGGAGGGGCAGAGAGAGCGAGACACAGAAUCCAAAGCACAGAGCCCAACGCGGGGCUCGAACUCACGAACCGUGAGAUCAUGACCUGAGCCGAAGUCGGACGCUCAACCGACUGAGCCACCCAGGUGCCCCAAGAUGGGGCUCUUACAGGUAAGAGAGGGCAGUGGGCUUCUAGGGGGCUACCCUGUUUUCGGGCCUUUAGAAACACAAGGUAUUAGGCCCAGAAGGCAAAAUCUUAUCUUCCUGUCUUCUGGGACUGAAGAACAUCUGCCAAGAAACAGGACAACAGAGGAAACAAAGUGUAUCCCAACUAAUAAAGCACGGAACAGUUACAGGGCCUUUUCUUCCCAGUUUCAUGGGUUUACACAAGUAAGAUCGGCUAGGCCCUUUUCUCAAGCCGUGCCCAGAAAAGAACAAUUAGGGCUGUCAUCACGAAUGAAGAUUUGUGGAAAUCCCCAAAGCAGUGAUUUGGCUCUUUGUUGCUAAAGGGCCUUUGCGGGUGGGGAAGCGUAUUCCAGCCAACAGCAUCGGACACCGAGGGUACACAGAUAUGCCAGGGAGACCCUUAGCAAUUAGCUGAGAGCCAGACUCUGGGUAUCUGACGUCCACAUCGACAUAACCUGGGAAGAAAAAGCUCUGUAACUGCUCCUUGUGUCCUGUGUCUCACAAAAGGCUGGUAUAAAAAUUUGUGUUCUCGGGUCACAGAAGUAUCAGCACGAGGGGAAAUCUUGGAAAAGCAAGUGGUGCUCAGCGCUCAGCCCCCACCCCCUACCUUCAUCCAGAAGCUUCUUGUCGAGGAUGGCUGGCUCCAAUCCCAGCCACUCGUCACCUUCCCUUGGAAGGGAGCGAGUGGCAGCUGCUGAGAGGGGUAAGCCAGCACUUGGUUCUCACGGUGGCGGUGGCGUUAAGCCGGUUCUCCUCUCUGCUUUCAGAAAAUACCUUCAGAGCGAUCAGUGUCUUUGUUGAGCUUUGUAAGGCCUGUUGUCUUUGCAGUGCUCUGGAAAGACCUUAGUUGCGAUCCCUCAUUCUAAGAGGGAACCCCCAGGCCGCUCCCUGCACUUGGUUACACGCUGGGCCUCAGGGGCCCCCGACGCCACACUUGGGUGACUUUUGGGGACCUAGGGGUAGACUGGCCAGCCACUCGAGGGGUGCGUGCAGUGCCGGCAACGAUCCCUUCCGCAUGUGCGGGACUGUGGGUGCAAACCAUUUCACGGACACGACUUCGUGGCAGUUUCAUAUCCGCAGGGACGUGUGCGGGGCACAUACUAUCCUCACGUGAGAGAUGGGAGACCUGAGGCUCAGAGCAGUGAAGUGACUUGCGUAAGGUCACACAGCCGACGGGCGGUGGGGCCGCCUGACACAUCAGCCCUCCUGGCGCUGAGGCUCCACGGCACACGUCAGCCCUUCGGGAAAGGAGCCGUCCUGGGUCGGGCGUCCUGUGCAUCCUAGAAGGUUUAGAAGCACUGCUGGCCUCGUUCCACUAGGUGUCAGCAGCGCCCCAGGAAAAGUAAACUUUCCGCGGCGGGGCGGGGCUGAAGCACGGCUUUCUGUCCCUCGCUCUGCAGCGCGGCCAGGCAGGAAUGGGCCCGUCACCAUCUCCUGCUUCCCGCCCUGCAGGGGCUCCCAGCUGCCCCAGGAAGCGAGUCUGACAGCCCGAAGGAGACAGACCAGGCCCCUCGGGUUCUGGGCGCUGCCGGCCUCUCCAGUCCCUCUUCCCCCCUCCUUCCCGCCCCACGCUCCGCUCCAGGGCACAACCGCUCAUAGCUCUUUCCCACACGGCCGUGCCAGUCUGUGCGCCCACGCUCGUGCCCUUUCUCUGCGUGCCGUGCCCUCCCCCUCGCUUGCUUAGCUCGCAAAUCCUACCCAACCUUCAAGACGUGCGUAGCAGCGUAGGCAUCGCCCGGAAACUUACCCUAAGCCCGUGGCCUUCCCCUCCCCCCUCCUCAAGCCCCACCUCCGUGCUCCCGUACCUUCUGCAGCUUCCGUUCGGAGCACGCCUCACCCCAUCCUGUCAACUGCCCUUCACGCUACUGGGAGCUCCUGAAGGGCGGGGCUGUGUCUUAUUCGAGUCUGAGGCACAGUGCCUGGCAGGCAGCAUUUACUCAGCGGUGUUUACAGACGCGAACCCCCGAGAACAGAUGAAAGCACGCUGGGUUGGGAGUGAGAACACCAGGAGUCUGCUCCCACUUGCGCGCCAGCUGAUUGCUUCCCGCCCCUGAGCCUCUGUUUCCUCCUCUGAGGAACGGGAGCUUGGACGAAAUGUCUAAGGGUCCUUAGAAAUUGGGUUGCUGGGGCGCCUGGGUGGCUGUCGGCUAAGCGUCCUGAGCCCCGCAUCCGGCUCUGCGCUGACAGCGCAAAGCCUGCUUGGGGUUCUCUCUCUGCCCCUCCCCUGCCCGCGCCUGCGCACGCGCUCUGUCUCAAAACACACACACACACACACACACACACACACACACACACACACACAUUUAAAAAAAAGAAAAAGGAAUUGGACUGCUGAUUCUAGAAGGUUUUCUCAUAAAUGUUCCACUUAAAAAUGCUUCCCAAAGGGCAGGAUCAUCCUCUUCCUCCCCUUCUGAAAGUGUAGGACCUUUAACCUUUUUCAAAGUCUUUUCCUAUCGACUGUUAUUUGACCCUAGAAAUAACUACAGCAGCCUGGCAGACGUAAUUUCAAGCAAGAACCAUUCUUCCAAACAAGUGACGUAAAGGUAAACUGUGUGUCAGCUGUUACGCGCUUACCGACGUGUUUGUAUGUAUGCGCACACAGAGAGACCCUUCAGGGUGGUGUGUCGAUGGGGAGGGGCUGGGCAGGGCGUUGGAACAAGUCUUUUCACUGAAUACCUUAUAUUGUUAGAUGUUUGAGCUGUGUGACUAUUUAAAAAAUUAAAGAUAGUGAAUAAAACCAAAUGAAUGGCGUCA
Molecule: long non-coding RNA, 5253 nt
Organism: Felis catus (domestic cat)
Lineage: Eukaryota; Metazoa; Chordata; Mammalia; Carnivora; Felidae
Exons: 2
Source: RefSeq, a predicted model, not a curated record